RNAcentral lists this ribosomal RNA (200 nucleotides) under uncultured bacterium. RNAcentral's name for it is "partial 16S ribosomal RNA". It matches the Rfam family "Bacterial small subunit ribosomal RNA", at positions 29 to 230 of the family's 1533-position model. The record is from RNAcentral.
AGUGAACGCUGGCGGCAGGCCUAACACAUGCAAGUCGAGCGGCAGCGCGGGGGCAACCCUGGCGGCGAGCGGCGGACGGGUGAGGAAUGCAUCGGAAUCUGCCUCGUUGUGGGGGAUAACGUAGGGAAACUUACGCUAAUACCGCAUACGACCGAGAGGUGAAAGGGGGGGAUCGCAAGACCUCUCGCUAUCAGAUGAGC